Mycena vitilis is the source of this 121-nucleotide non-coding RNA. The record is from the annotation of a GenBank genome assembly. Lineage: Eukaryota; Fungi; Basidiomycota; Agaricomycetes; Agaricales; Mycenaceae.
GGCUGCGUGGUGUAGUGGUAACAUCUCUGCUCUCUCUAGUGGUACAAUACACAAUGCCAUCGGCUUGGUGUAUUGUAUAACAAGUCCGCGGACGACGCGGGUUCGGAUCCCGCCGCAACCA